AUUGAACGCUGGCGGCAGGCCUAACACAUGCAAGUCGAGCGGAUGAAGGGAGCUUGCUCCUGGAUUCAGCGGCGGACGGGUGAGUAAUGCCUAGGAAUCUGCCUGGUAGUGGGGGAUAACGUCCGGAAACGGGCGCUAAUACCGCAUACGUCCUGAGGGAGAAAGUGGGGGAUCUUCGGACCUCACGCUAUCAGAUGAGCCUAGGUCGGAUUAGCUAGUUGGUGGGGUAAAGGCCUACCAAGGCGACGAUCCGUAACUGGUCUGAGAGGAUGAUCAGUCACACUGGAACUGAGACACGGUCCAGACGCCUACGGGAGGCAGCAGUGGGGAAUAUUGGACAAUGGGCGAAAGCCUGAUCCAGCCAUGCCGCGUGUGUGAAGAAGGUCUUCGGAUUGUAAAGCACGUUAAGUUGGGAGGAAGGGCAGUAAGUUAAUACCUUGCUGUUUUGACGUUACCAACAGAAUAAGCACCGGCUAACUUCGUG
RNAcentral lists this ribosomal RNA (484 nucleotides) under uncultured bacterium. RNAcentral's name for it is "partial 16S ribosomal RNA". It matches the Rfam family "Bacterial small subunit ribosomal RNA", at positions 30 to 507 of the family's 1533-position model. The record is from RNAcentral.